RNAcentral lists this long non-coding RNA (8086 nucleotides) under Homo sapiens (human). RNAcentral's name for it is "non-protein coding lnc-BRF2-7:6". The record is from RNAcentral. Lineage: Eukaryota; Metazoa; Chordata; Mammalia; Primates; Hominidae.
AAAUGGAGAACAGCUGCUCACGCUCGUCGUCUGACAUCAGCUAUUUCUCAGGAUGACCCUGCGAGACAGGCCAGGGUCAUUAGACCCAAUUUGGUUCUCAGCAAAUAUGUGUUUAUUCCUGCAUGCGUGGGCCACAGGCUGGUUUCUUGGGUGCAAUGAAUAGCUGCAGGUUUAUUAGGGUGUCUUUUUAGAUGGAUGUAUGUUUCCCGAUGUCUAUAGAACACUCCGGACCCCGGAGAGUGAAGACUCUGCCUGUCGGACUUGCUUUGAGAAGAUCCUUCUCCACCUCCCCAUGGCAGAAGUUGCUUCACAGAGGGGAACAGUUUUAUGGAUGUGGCUGAGACCUUAAACUUGAGGCAACCCAUCUGAGGUGGCAUCCAGAGGAGACUGGCUGGCCCCUCCUUCACCUUGGAUGUAGUGCUGUUUCUAGGAUCUCUUUUCAAUCAGCAAAACAGGGGAUGUUCCAAGAGGGUGUGGAUUCCCUGCCAUCCCACAUGGUCAAGUGGAGGGGACGGGAAAAAGCUAUGAAGGGUUUGUGACCACACAGACUCUCCUGGCCCCCUGUCCUUUUGGAAAGAAGACAGGGAUGAAAUAUAAUCAAGCAAUUAACCACCCCCAUCAUCACCAAGAACAACAGUAUCAACAAGAAGAACAGGGACAACAAAACCCACGGAUGAAACAUUCCUUUCUCAGCUCAGAUCUUAUCUGGUGCGUUCUCUCUCUGCUCUGUCUUGGUGUGUGGUUUAGAGAAACAUGGACAACGCUGUUUGGAAGAACAGGGUCGAGCUGUUCCUGAUGUUUAUCGGAGACUGGGAUCAAAGCUAUCCAGGUCAUAAAUCUCUCUCUGUGGCUGUUGGGCCCCAGGGCAGCUGAAGAGGGUUGACAGCCCUUUGGACCUCAAAGGAAAAAAUGUGCUCUACUCCACCCACUCCCAGCUCUGCCAAGAAGCUGUCCUCUGAGAAGCCAUGGCUGGGCCGUUCCAUUCUGGGGAGCUGCUGAAAAGAGCUGGGAGGCCGAGAAGAACUUGCGUGUGCUGGGGGAGAGGAAGCCUGGCCUUGAGGGAGGGGUGCAGGUGUGGCUCCUCUGUGUGUGGGGGCUGGGGGACCUUGUGUGCCUUUUCCUUGUGGCUGUGAAAUGCUUUAUGAGUACUUCCAUAGGAGGAUGGACAGGGAGUCGGGGAGAUAAACUCAGCCACAAGGCCCCAGGGCCUCAGGAAACUUGCACCCAACCCUCUCAUUUUACAGAAGAAAACUGUGCCUGGAAGGUUGAAGGGUUUGUUCCCAGUCACACAACCAGGGAUCCUUAGGACAGCCAGACCAGGAAACCAUUUCCAAACUGCCAAGCCAUGGCAGAGUAUCAAGACCUCAGGAACCAUCGAGACACCAUGGAAGCAUUGGGAAAAGCCUCCUUAGCUUUUGAAGCUCCUCAUUGUUCUUGAGUGUGCAUGGAGCCCAUGACUGCGGGGUUUUGUAGACACCUCAGGGAUUACAUGACUGGUACCCCUGACAAAGUCAAGGCUGCUGGACAAAAUGAGUCCGAGGAUUUCAGGGGCAGCUGGGCGCAGGAGCUGGUGGGCUGUUGGGAGUGCCCCUUUACUGGGCAGGCUUCCUUCCUCCUGGUGAUGGGGGGUUCCUCAGCACAAAAGUGAAGGGGUGGAGGGGCUGGAGGAGCAGGAAUCUCUCUUGUUGAUAGGUAUGAGGCCUUGAAGUCCUUUUCUUUGUCCCAGGAUUCAUGGACGCUUCGGGGCUGAUCUUUGAGUUUUCAAGCAUGGGGUGCAGAGACGUUUAGGUAAACUCUUACCGUCCUCUCUCUUCGUCAGGGCUUCCCAGGAAUCAACAAUGCCCAAGAAGGAAGGGAUUGUAGAAAUAGCUUAACCCUUUCAUUUACCAACGUGGAAAUUGAAGCCCAGGGAAGGGAAGGGACCGGUCGUGGAAGGGAGAGCCAUCAGCAGAAAGAGACCCUGAGAUCUUCGCCUGGGAUUCCCAGGAAGUCCAGCCCGAGCUGAUUCACAGAACAAAUGCAUGCAAACCUUGCUAUCAAUAAAUUACACAUGCACUUACGUAAAACACAUAAAAAUAUAUGGCCUUGGUUUUGGAACAAUACCCCACAGAUAAAAGUAGCUUUAAAUCCUCCAUAAAAUGAUAAAGUCUAGUCCUAAACUCCUAGCAGUUCUGCGGGUGAUCACAGGCGGCAGGAGCCGCUCAAACUUUAAUGGCUUGGUAUCUCCACAUGUAGACAGGAGGCAGAAAACCAUCGGGGAUGAAGUCGUGGGCUCUAGAAUUGCAAAGACGUGGGUUCCAGGCCAGGCUUGGCCCUUGCUAACUGUUGACCUUGAGCAAAUUACCCAACCUGUUCCUUAUUUGUUUCUGCCUCAUAGGUAGUUGUGCAGAUGAAAUGAUAUCAGUUCUCAGAACAGUGCUGGGGACAGAGUACACUCUAUGCUCAAUACAUAUUCACUUUUAGAGAUAUCUUGGGAUUCUCAGUCUAAGUGACAUUCAAAAGUACCUCACUGGGAGGCAAGACCAAGGUGGAGCCUCCUCUUGGAUGGGAUGUGGGCCUAUUUUAUUUUACUUCUUUAUUUUUGUAGGUGCAUGCCACCACACUUGCUAAUUAAUUUUUUUUUUUUUUUUUUGUAGAGAUGGGGUCUCACUAUGUUGCUCAGGCUGGUCUUAAACUCCUGGCCUCAAGCAAUCCUCCUGCCUCAGCCUCCCACAGUGCUGGGAUUACAGGCAUGAACCACUGAGCCCGGCACCUCUAUUUUAAAUCUAUUUUAUCUUUUGAGAUAUAGUCUUGCUCUGUCACCCAGGCUGGAGUGCAGUGGCGCGAUCUCAGCUCCCUGUAACCUCUGCCUCUCGGGUUCAAGCAAUUCUUCUGCCUCAACCUCCCAAGUAGCUGGGACUACAGGCGCCCGCCACCACGCCUGUCUAAUUUUUUGUAUUUUUAGUAGAGACAGGGUUUCACCAUGUUAGCCAGGAUGGUCUUGAACUCCUGACCUCGUGAUCUGCCUGCCUCGGCCUCCCAAAGUGCUGGGAUUACAGGCGUAAGCCACUGCACCCGGCUAUUUUAAAUCUACAGACAAAUCACCCAUGAAGUGCAGUGGGGGAAUAGAGGGCUGGGCUCAGUUAAUUCAGAAGAAGAUUUAUCCCAGGAUCAGGAAAUGAGAGUUUCAGAUGUUGCCAGUAGCUUAAGUGGCUUUUAGGGCCUUUUUUCUGUCUGGCCAGGGCUCAUCCUGGGCUGAGCUUUAAGGCCUGUUAGGGGCUGAAUUCUGUCCCCCUCAAAGUUUAUAUGUUGAACUCAUAACCCCAGUACCUUAGACUGUGACUGUAUUUGGAGAUAGGGUCUCUAAAGAGGUAAUUAGGUUAAAAUGAGGUCACUAGGGUGGGCCCUAGUCCAAUAGAAAUGUGUCCUUGUUGGAUAAGGGGCAACGUGGACACAGACACGUGCAGAGGGGAGCCCCUGUGAAGAAGCGGGGAGAAGACAGUCACCUGCAAGCCACAGACGGGGCCUGUGAAGGAACCAAUCCUGUCAAUACCUUGGUCUUGGUCUUGGCCUUCCAGCCUCCAAAACCCAGAGGCCAUCAAUUUCUGGGUUUUGAUGACCUUGGUUUCUAAAUCUGCCUGGGAGGCAUUGUUUGACUCUGGUCUGAACAACAGGAGUUUUCGGCACAGGUGUGAUCAUGUUACCUGCACAGUGCGAGGUUAAGAAGACAAAUGGGGGUAGGCUAGAGGCAACAGCCAAAUCACAAUUUGCCAGAUCUGAAAAGACCUUAGAGAUUACCUAGCUGAAUUGUCCCCUGCUGUAGAUUUGUAAAUCGAGGCUCGAAGAGGUAGAAUAACUUUCCUAAAAAUCAUCAGAUAAAUGACAGGCAGAGUGGAGACUAGAUCUCCCAUCGCCAGACUUGGCCCAGUGCUCUGUCCACCAAAGCAUGUUGACUGCAUCAACUCUGGGUGCACCUUCUCCUCCUUUAUCAUCAGUCAGCGUUCAGGAAAGCACUGCUAGCAGUCAUUUACACCUUAGCAUGAAUUUAAGCCAACAUUUAGUUCUCCCAGGUGCAUUUGCUUUUUUUUUUUUUGAGAUGGAGUUUUGCUCUUGUCGCCCAGGCUAGAGUAUAAUGGUGUGAUCUCAGCUCAUUGCAACCUCCACCUCCCGGGUUCAAGCGAUUCUCCUGCCUCAGCCUCCUGAGUAGCUGGGAUUACAGGCACCUGCCACCACGCCUGGCUAAUUUUUGUAUUUUUAGUAGAGACGGGGUUUUGCCAUGUUGGUCAGGCUGGUGUCAAACUCCUGACCUUAGGUGAUCUGCCCACCUCGGCCUCCCAAAGUGCUGGGAUUACAGGCGUGAGCCACUGUGCCCAGCCGCAUUUGCUUUUGAGGUCUCAUCCCAUUGUAUAGAUUGUUCCCUGUCAAUGGCAUUUCCAGCACUGGUGAGAAGAGAGGCAAGGCAGGGCUUGUGAUUCUCAUCCCCAAGACCCUGCCACUUGCCUACUCGCUCGGGCAAUGAGGGCGGGCACUGCUUCCAGAGUUAAACUGCACUGGACCCAGAUCUAUGUGUCCAUAAGUCAGAGCAAGUUUGUCAGAAGCUGUCAGGGAGUAAGGCUGAGUAGACGGAUGGAGUCAGACUCAUUUAAAAAUGGAAUACCAGCAGAUAGGUUUAAAAAUGGAAUGCGGCCGGCUAGAGUGAAGGUGGUCCCUAAACCAAACACCUGUCCCUUCUGUGUGUUUUCUGGUUUCUUUCCCCAUUGCUCGAGAAUGCUAGAAGCCAGACUAGUAUUAAGAACUCUAAAUUCCUAGCCUGGCAUGGUGGUUUACACCUGUAAUCCCAGCAACUUGGGAGAUCAAGGCAGGAGGGGAUCACUUGAGCCCAGGAAUUUGAGACCAACCUGGGCAACGUGUUGAAACCCCAUCUCUACAAAAAAUACAAAAAUUAGUCAGGCAUGUGGUGCAUGCCUGUAGUCUCAGCUACUUGGGAGGUUGAGGUGGGAGGAUUGCUUAAGCCCAGGAGGUCGAGGCUGCAGUGAGCCAUGAUCGCGCCACUGCACUCUAGCCUGGGUGACAGAGCGAGACCUUGUCUCAAGACAAACAAACAAACAAACAAACAAAAAACUCUUAAGUUCUAAGUGCCUGGAGCAGGGAGUGUUUCUGAGGCCUCAUGUUUACCAGGGCACUGUGCUAUGUGCAGGGUAGUGAGGGGGAGAGACACCAUUCCAACAUCUUGGAGCCCAAGUCUAGAGUCAGGGCCACAGAGGCGGGAGAGGAAGAGAAUCCCACUGCAAAUGGGCUGGGCCUCCCUGCCUUUGCCCAUUGAGUGAGCAACAGUGCUGUUUCUAUAGGUCUCUUUGAGCCUUAAGCAUGGAAUGUGAUGAGACUGAACAGUGAUAAAAUGUAUUGAUGGAACUUCUGUUCAUUGAAAUGCAAAGGGGAAGAAAGAAUUUAGAAAUGAUCUGAGGUUUCCAGCUUGGGGAGAGAGAAAGUGAGAGGAAGUGGGGGCCUAAGGGGAAUGGAAUGAACAGCCCCGACUUCAGGCUUGUAGACUGCAAUGGGGCAAGGCAGCUACAUGCAAAUGUCCUUCCUGGAGCCUGGAAACAAGGUCAAAGCAGAGAUGGACAAGUAGGAGCGCAGCCUAGAGGAGAUAGGUGAUGCCUGAAGCCAUGAGAAGGGGUGUUAUCUCUGCAGGAAGAAGAAUUGCAACACUCCUCCCAGCUGAGCAAACAGUCUGGGCUGGGAUGUGAGUGGUAUCACACUCUGCACUCACUUCCUCCUUCAGUGGUCAUUUGAGAGUUCACUGGGGCUGACCUACCCCAUUGGUCCUGGAGGACAGAAAGGAAUGGAGAAUAAAGAAGGUCUAAGGUGCAGUUUUUCCCCCUCCUCCAAAGCCAUGAAGGGACCUAUGGAUUUGAAAGCUGUGUGUGGUCACUGUGGACAGAGUGACUCCUACCCCACUGGGGGGCUUUGCCAGCCAAGGCACAAAUCAAGCCUUCUCUUUGCCCUCUGAAGUCAAAGGGAGAAGACCGGGGUUGUCCAUCUUUAUAGGCAGCCUCAGAUGAUCCAACCUAAUAUACGUCAUUAACAAAUUGUGUGAUCUUGAACAAGUCAGUUUAUCUCAUUGUGACUCAAGUGAACAUAAGGGUAUAGAGCAUUUGCCCUGCUGACCUCACUGGAUCAUUGUGAAAUAAUAGCUAAUGAGAUGGUGCAUAGCAGGUGUUUUGUAAACUUAACAGUGAUAGGCAAAGCUUAGUUCCCAUGAGAAUGACUCUCUGACUAUUAUCUAUGGCAUUGGAAUACUGACCUCCCUUCUCUGAGAAAGCUCCAGCGGCAAAAUGCUUCUGAUCUCAAACUUUAGGACCAAUUUUCUGGUUUACAGGGCAGGACGAGCCCCUUCUCUUAAGGAUCAAGGGGAUGAAGGAGAAUUCCCUGCUUUUGGUGGGGGGUUACUUCUGAAAGCCAUGCCCUGCUCCCAUCUGAGGAGGUCACCCAGUCCUAGUUUUGUCUGGAAGCACCCUGCCCAGCCCCAGGGGCCAGCCCCAUCCCAGCCAGGCCUCAGAGAUGUCAGACCUGAAAGGCAGCUGCUGCCUCUCCUUCUGACAGGUGUCUCCGCCAGAGCUGGGAGAUGAGGAGAUAGGCGAGCUGAGCACCUUUCCUCCUUGAAUUGAUAACUGCUUUGCAAUGCAGCUCUGUACUUGCUAAAUGAAACCUCCUGCCCCACCAUGAUGGAUUUAUGGCUGAAACAUCUUAUCUCAACUGAGAAUAUUUUAUGAGUGUGCAUGGGUGUGUGUGGGAUAGGAGGAGGGAAAAGGCAGUUUUGCAAACAUUUCUAGAGGUGCUCCAUAAUCUGCCCUACCCUGAAGUAUUAUCUAGAAGCUCUUUCUAGAUCUGCCAGGCUUAAGCAUCUAUAAGUCUUCUCCAGAUGCUAGCACAAUGUAGAUGCCUCAUGAAACAUUUGCUGAUGAUGAUGAUGACGAUGAUGACGAUGAAGGCUGUGGUCUGGAAGGGGACUCUGUUUUUGAUAAGUUUAAUUCAAUCCAGCAAAUAUUGAACAAAUGCUCAUUUUUGUUCAGGGCUAGGAAAGCUACUAUUAUUAUUUUUUUGGUGGGGUGGAGAAAGGGGAGAGUUGGAGAAUAUAAAAAUAAAUGACACAAACUCUUUUCUCUACAUCCUUGGUCUAUACUGAGGGGCCAGGACAUGCACAUUCGGAGUGGAUGUGGAGCAGAAGGGGUUGGAGUGGCAAGAACUAAUGGCCCAGAGUGUAGCUUCAGGAGCUGGACACACCUGGUGGGAUCUUUAGGUAGUUUCUUGUCUUUUGAGCUCCUCAGUUUUCUCCCCUCUAACAGGGGGACAACACUAUUCCCUAGCUCUAAGGUUGGUGUGAAGGUCAUAGGAUUUGCGUAGGGGUUACUUGGUACCAUGUGGGGUCAGCAGCUCAGUAGCAUCACCAACACGAGGAUGAAGAUGAAGGACCGACUCACUGACGAGGGUGGGCUGGAGAUGACUGGGAGCCAGGAACCAUCACAAACUCAGGGCUCUGUGUGCACUGGUUAUCCCAUUCUUUUGCAACCUUGUAAAAUUAAUUUAAUAGGUAGUACAUCCAAGUGGUUUAAAAAGCAAAAGGUAUAAAGAAAUAUGCAGUGAAGAUGAAAAUUGCUCUCAGUUCUGACCCCUCACUAUUGUGCUCCUCCUUCUCAGAGGCAGCUGUUGUCAUUGGUUUCUGGGGCAUUCUUUCCAAGGGCGUUGUACACCCAGCAUCUAAUGAUGCUACCUCUUCUUCCUCUUUCUUGUUUUAACCCAAAAGGAGGAAUUGGGAGUUGAUGAUAGCCAUAGAGUGGAAGGCAGCAGCUGGAGGGAGGAAGCUGGAUGUAUCUGAGCAUCUACUACGUGCCAGGCCCAGAUGAAAUCUUAUCAGUUCUAGCGAAAUUUGGAGAAAGAUUCACUGUCUUAGAAUUUGAAAACAUCAGUGCUGGAGGGGAAGGUGGAAGCCAUCUGGCUAAUCUUCAUUUACUGAUAUGGAAGUGACUAGUCCAAAGUCCCAGAGCUUUCUGAUUUUUGCUUCUUCUUGCUAGGAAAGCAAUUAUCCUAUAAUAAUCCUUCUUUACAG